CGCCACCUUUCCUCCCCCGCCCGAUCAGCACCCGUGGGACCUCCCUGGAACCAUGUAGGCCAUGGAGCUUCCUCCUCCCACAGACUCCUCCAAUCUUCCCAGAGGAAUUCAGCCCAUUUCACAGAAGAACAAACCAAGGCACCAAGGGAAAAACACACACACAGACGGAGUUUCACCAUGUUGUCCAAGCUGGUCUUGAACUCCUGAGCUCACUCCAUCCUCCCUGCUCAUCCUCCCAAAGUGCUGGGAUUAUAGGCGUGAGCCACUGUACCUGGCCUGCUUCCCCCAUGAUUAACACCUUCCAUUGUUAAAUGAGUGUGAUGGAUUUGGGGAAGGAAGAACACAGAAGUGAAGCACCCAUCUCAUCACACCAUAUCAAAGGCACAAACUGUCAACAUGACUUACUCUGCUGGUGUUGACCUUGAUUUCCUGGCCGAAUGGCAUCUGUCAGGUGAAGACACAGCAAGAAGGCAGCUGUCUGCAAGCCAGGAAGACAGCCCUCACCUGAACCCAAGUUGGCCAGUAGCUUCACCUUGGACUCCCCAGCCUCCAGAACCAUGAGAAAGAAAUGUCAGAGCUGGGUGCAGUGGCUCAUACCUGUCAUCCAGCGUUUUGGGAGGUCAAGGUGGGAAGACUGCUUAAGCCUAGGAGUUCAAGACCAGCUUGGGAAACACAGCAAGACCCUGUCUACAAAAAAGUUGCCAGGCAGGCCGGGCGCGGUGGCUCAUGCUUGUAAUCCCAGCACUUUGGGAGGCCGAGGCGAGCGGAUCACGAGGUCAGGAGAUCGAGACCAUGGUGAAACCCCGUCUCUACUAAAAAUACAAAAAAAAAAAAAUUAGCCGGGCGUGGUGGCGGGCGCCUGUAGUCCCAGCUACUCGGAGAGGCUGAGGCAGGAGAAUGGCGUGAACCCGGGAGGUGGAGCUUGCAGUGAGCCGAGAUUGUGCCACUGCACUCCAGCCUGGGUGACAGAGCGAGACUCCAUCUCAAA
Long non-coding RNA from Symphalangus syndactylus (siamang), 988 nucleotides. RefSeq lists it as uncharacterized. The record is from RefSeq and is a predicted model, not a curated record. NCBI's taxonomy places the organism in Eukaryota, Metazoa, Chordata, Mammalia, Primates, Hylobatidae.